Molecule: ribosomal RNA, 210 nt
Filed under: uncultured fungus
Lineage: Eukaryota; Fungi
Description: partial small subunit ribosomal RNA
Rfam family: Eukaryotic small subunit ribosomal RNA (bases 83-210)
Source: RNAcentral
GGUUUCGUCUCGGGUAGCCUCACGGUUUUCACCCGGUCCGGAAUCCUCCUCGUGGCAAACCAGGGUUCUCUUAACUGGGCGCUCUGGGGAACCACGACGUUUACUUUGAGAAAAUUAGAGUGUUCAAAGCAAGCGUUCGCUUGAAUACAUUAGCAUGGAAUAAUGGAAUAGGGCUGCUGCCCCAUUUUGUUGGUUUCUGGGACCGUAGCA